Molecule: ribosomal RNA, 370 nt
Filed under: uncultured cyanobacterium
Lineage: Bacteria; Bacillati; Cyanobacteriota
Description: bacterial SSU rRNA
Rfam family: Bacterial small subunit ribosomal RNA
Source: RNAcentral
CGAAAGCCUGACGGAGCAAUACCGCGUGAGGGAGGACGGCUUUUGGGUUGUAAACCUCUUUUAUCAGGGAAGAAUCGAUGACGGUACCUGAUGAAUCAGCAUCGGCUAACUCCGUGCCAGCAGCCGCGGUAAUACGGAGGAUGCAAGCGUUAUCCGGAAUUAUUGGGCGUAAAGCGUCCGUAGGUGGUUUAUCAAGUCUGCUGUCAAAGCGUGCGGCUUAACCGCAUAAGGGCAGUGGAAACUGAUGAACUAGAGUGCGAUAGGGGCAACAGGAAUUCCCAGUGUAGCGGUGAAAUGCGUAGAUAUUGGGAAGAACACCAGCGGCGAAAGCGUGUUACUGGGUCUGCACUGACACUGAGGGACGAAAGCU